RNAcentral lists this microRNA (20 nucleotides) under Python bivittatus (Burmese python). Its description in RNAcentral is "pbv-miR-217-5p". Its record names the gene pbv-miR-217-5p. Lineage: Eukaryota; Metazoa; Chordata; Lepidosauria; Squamata; Pythonidae. The record is from miRBase by way of RNAcentral.
UACUGCAUCAGGAACUGAUU